UACAACAACCUCCAUUGGACUGUGGACUCGCACAUAGAAGGAGGGCUGUCAUGUCCUCCUGCGCAGACGGGCUUUCGCCUCCAAGUGGCCACAUUUCAACCUUGUGAUGAGGAGGGACGCUGGCGCACUUGUGACGAUGGCCGCCGGCGAGGUGGACGUUUUUGCGAAUGAAGAAAAACGAACCCUGGAGCUCGGGGGCCAUGUGGGCUUUGAUAGUUUCCCAGAUCAGUUGGUCAGCAAAUACGUUGCACAGGGCUUCAGUUUCAACAUCCUCUGCGUAGGGGAGACGGGGAUAGGCAAGUCCACCUUAAUGAACGCACUUUUCAACACGAGGUUUGAAAGCGAAGAAGCCAGCCAUUAUGAGGAAGAAGUGCUUCUACGACCACAGACAUAUGAUCUGCAGGAGAGCAACGUUAACCUCAAGCUGACCGUCGUGCACACAGUCGGCUUCGGCGACCAGAUCAACAAAGAAGAAAGCUAUAAACCCAUACUGGACUACAUCGAUGCUCAGUUUGCAACAUACCUGGAAGAAGAGCUCAAAAUCAAACGUUCCCUGUGCAAUUUCCAUGACACGAGAAUCCACAUCUGCCUAUAUUUCAUCGCUCCCAACGGCCACUCCCUCAAGUCCCUGGAUCUGGUCACCAUGAAGAAGCUGGACAGCAAGGUGAACGUCAUCCCCGUCAUUGCGAAGGCGGACACUGUAUCCAGGAGCGAGCUGGACAAGUUCAAGAUCAAAAUCAUGAGCGAGCUGGUCAGCAACGGGGUGCAGAUAUACCAGUUCCCCACGGAGGAUGAGGCUGUGGCUGAGAUUAACUCUUCCAUGAACACGCACCUCCCCUUUGCUGUGGUGGGCAGUGUGGAAGAAGUCAAAGUAGGCAAUAAGAUGGUCAAAGCAAGGCUGUACCCCUGGGGAACAGUACAAGUGGAGAACGAGAACCAUUGUGACUUUGUGAAGCUGAGGGAGAUGCUGCUGCGUGUCAACAUGGAGGAUCUCCGUGAGCAAACGCACACGCGCCACUAUGAGCUCUACCGCCGCUGCAAGCUGGAGGAGAUGGGCUUCAAGGACGCAGACCCUAACAGUCAGUCGUUCAGCUUGCAGGAGACGUAUGAAGCAAAGAGGAGGGAGUUCAUUAGAGAUCUACAAAUCAAGGAAGAAGAAAUGAGGCAGAUGUUUGUCAACAAAGUGAAGGAGACCGAAGCAGAGCUGAAAGAAAAGGAAAAAGAGCUCCACGAGAGGUUUGAGCAGCUCAAACGGCUGCACCAGGAAGAAAAGAAGAACCUGGAAGAGAAAAAACGCGAGCUGGAGGAGGAGAUGAAUGCCUUCAACAGGAGGAGGGUGGCUGCAGAGACACUGAUGGGUCAGGCUCUCCAAGGCGGCGCUCAGCCCCUCAAGAAGGACAAGGACAAGAAAAAUUGAUGUAUGGAAAAGUCCCCCAGGGAAACCCAAGAAUGUGGCUGUCAUCAGCAUGGCUUCUUUAGUCUUCCCUCUGCGUGCUCCUUAACCUCGUCAAGGAAUUUGAACUAGAGGACUUUCUACUAACUACACGGAAAGCUCGCAGACUGACUUGCGAGCUCGUUGUUUUUUUUGCCAAUUGAAAUUAGCACUUUUCCAGAAAAUGCACUUCCAUCCCUGGGAUUGCAUCGCCAAGAGUCUUCCUCCGUGUGUUCUGCUCUCUCAAAGCUUUUCAGCAGCGCUUUGUAGCAUGGAACGUGCAUGUCAUAGUCAGUAUAACCAUCUCUCUUAGCCUUCAGAUAAAUGUGCCCAUCUUUAAGCUCCAAUGUACUUUUGACUAAAGACACUGUGAAAUGAUGUAUAUUAAAUACCAUGAAGUCACAUUGAAUCAUUAAGGUUAUUUUUGAAUAAUUGUUAUUCUAUAUACAGAGAUUAUAAUAGGCUUUGAUUAGCAUAUCAGUACCUUUUCACAGUGGUUCUCAAACCUUUUUUCAGUGAUGUACCCCAUACUUGCCAACCCUCCCGAAUUUUCCGGGAGACUCCCGAAAUUCAGCGCCUCUCCCGAAAACCUCCCGGGGCAAAUAUUCUCCCGAAAAUCUCCCGAUUUUCAGCCGGAGCUGGAAGCCACGCCCCCUCCAGCUCCAUGCGGACCUGAGUGAGGACAGCCUUUUUUCAUGACGGGAAGACAACAGGGUGACAAGAACUAAAUCAUCCAGAUUCGAGAUAAAUUGUAUUAUUAUUUUACCUAAAAAUAAAUAUAUUAAUUAAAAAAAAAAUAAAAAAAUACAUUUUUACUAUAUUUUGCUAAAAACAUCAAAAUUAAUUGUAUUUUUAUUUGUAUUUUUUCGUGACUCCUUAUUACAUCCAGACAUAGAAUUAUACAUUAAAACAAACAUAUUUGAAAUAAUUGAUUUUAAAUGAUCAUAAUAAUUCAUUUAAAAUGACCAUAUUUAAUUAUUAAAAUAAUUUCUUGUUUAUCAACAACUUUAGCAUUUUAUUUAUUACAUUUUAAAACUCUCAGAAGCCAAGUUAUGUUAUAUUCCUUAAUAUUUAUUU
Nerophis lumbriciformis (worm pipefish) is the source of this 2509-nucleotide RNA transcript. It is a transcript of the gene named septin-8-A-like, with no coding region annotated. Lineage: Eukaryota; Metazoa; Chordata; Actinopteri; Syngnathiformes; Syngnathidae. The record is from RefSeq and is a predicted model, not a curated record.